UCCUGAUCACAGCUGCCAGCCAGGCAUUCUGCUUAGUGUAGAGUCCCAUUCGAAAAUGUUUGGUCAAGUCAAGGAAGAUUCACACAUGGUGCACAAUUGCUACAUGGACUAAGGCCAUCAUGGAGACAGGUUGCACAUUGCAUCAACAGCAUUGAAAAAGAAAUCAGCUGAAGGCACCAGACUCUCGAACAUGGAAUGUGAUAUGGGUGUUGCUGACUAGACCAUCCAGCUGAGUCAACCAUGUUGGUAUGACACAGAAUCACAUCUACACCAGACCAGAUAAUAAAGAUUCACUCGAGAAGACCUUGGAAUUUGCUAUCCUUCAUUUUUGAUCUGGUUAACUGAUUUCAAUUGAAGUGUGACAGCUACAAGCUAGAAAGGAAAAAAAGCAAAACAUGCAGCAAACAAAACAGCUAGGACAUCUGAUCUCAAUCACAGCCACCAAAAAGCUGGAGGAUUAGCUGGAAGAUAUUAC
Molecule: non-coding RNA, 475 nt
Organism: Chiloscyllium plagiosum (whitespotted bambooshark)
Lineage: Eukaryota; Metazoa; Chordata; Chondrichthyes; Orectolobiformes; Hemiscylliidae
Source: RefSeq, a predicted model, not a curated record